This is a long non-coding RNA of Drosophila gunungcola (fruit fly), 346 nucleotides long. RefSeq lists it as uncharacterized. The transcript has 3 exons. The record is from RefSeq and is a predicted model, not a curated record. NCBI's taxonomy places the organism in Eukaryota, Metazoa, Arthropoda, Insecta, Diptera, Drosophilidae.
CGUUGCAGUCGCAAAGCUGGACUAAGUUCUCCAGAAAUCGGUGGGGUGUCGACACCCCUAUCGGCUUGGAUAUGACUUAACUUGAGUGUAUAUAUGUGACAUAUCUCCAAUCAGCAGCAUUACUCUUCCAUGGCGAGAUCUUUCCGCUUGCAGUGGAGCGGGCAAUAUGGCACUCCGAUAUCUUGUACUCGUAGUACUUUGCUCCAUGGGGCUAGUGCACGGCAGCAUUGAACACUGUGACAGCCUGGUGUGGCGGGCAUGUAUUCCGGUUAUGGAACUUGGGAUCGUUUCCAGCGAAAUCGGGUUAAAUCGAGUGAUUAAGCCACCCCAGACACUCACCCGGAGG